RNAcentral lists this ribosomal RNA (492 nucleotides) under uncultured bacterium. Its description in RNAcentral is "partial 16S ribosomal RNA". It matches the Rfam family "Bacterial small subunit ribosomal RNA", at positions 29 to 507 of the family's 1533-position model. The record is from RNAcentral.
AGUGAACGCUGGCGGUAGGCCUAACACAUGCAAGUCGAACGGCAGCACAGUAAGAGCUUGCUCUUACGGGUGGCGAGUGGCGGACGGGUGAGGAAUACAUCGUAAUCUACUUUUUCGUGGGGGAUAACGUAGGGAAACUUACGCUAAUACCGCAUACGCCCUACGGGUGAAAGCAGGGGAUCUUCUGACCUUGCGCGAUUGAAUUAGCCGAUGUCGGCUUAGCUAGUUGGCGGGUUAAAGGCCCACCAAGGCGACGAUCCGUAGCUGGUCUGAGAGGAUGAUCAGCCACACUGGAACUGAGACACGGUCCAGACUCCUACGGGAGGCAGCAGUGGGGAAUAUUGGACAAUGGGCGCAAGCCUGAUCCAGCCAUACCGCGUGGGUGAAGAAGGCCUUCGGGUUGUAAAGCCCUUUUGUUGGGAAAGAAAAGCAGCAGGUUAAUACCCCGCUGUUCUGACGGUACCCAAAGAAUAAGCACCGGCUAACUUCGUG